GAAGUGUUCUCUAGAUUCCAGUGAAAUGGACCAGUGACUCCGGGACACAACCAAAAUGAAAAAAAGGAUUUUUCCCUCAAAAAGUCCACAGUCCAGAGGAAAUAAAAACAGCAAAAGCUUGACAGACACGGAAUGGGACAUUAGUUAACAUCCAGUAAGAUCAAAUGAAAGGUAGAGAAACUAGGAACAAGAGAUCAACUAAGGGCAUCAUCCAGUACAGAUAAGAGACUGAGAAUCUGAGCUAACAAAGUCAUAGUGAAGAUGGAGAAGAGGAAAGGAUGUGAGAAAGAUAUUCAGAAUGGAGAACUGGCAAGUCCUUGGAUCCUGUCUUGCCAGAUGCAUGAGUUUACUCACUCAACCAGGAGUUCUGAGCAGAAGCAAGGGCCAGAGAAUGUGCAGCCUUACAAGUCCUGGGAGGGAGUUUCAGCAUCUCCAUGCCAACCUGGAAACUGUUGAAUGACAAAAUUCUGUCGAGUGUAUAUGAGUCAUGGAAUUCUAAGACGAAUAGGAGCCUUGGGAAUCACCUGCCUAAGUUUUACUUUGAAG
Long non-coding RNA from Dama dama (fallow deer), 546 nucleotides. RefSeq lists it as uncharacterized. NCBI's taxonomy places the organism in Eukaryota, Metazoa, Chordata, Mammalia, Artiodactyla, Cervidae. The transcript has 4 exons. The record is from RefSeq and is a predicted model, not a curated record.